GAACGCGCAUAUCUCCACUAAGAACUCCGAUGGAGACGGCAGAUCUCUUUUCCGUAACUGUCGUUGAUCCCCGAAUAGGUGAUUACCAAACCGGCUUAGAUACCAUCGUAGUACAACAACGUAAUCGUUGGGAACUAGUUCUCGCGUCCAUUACAGAGGAUUCCGUGUCGCAUUUAACGCAAUAAGUUCCCCGCCUGGGGAGUACGGCCGCAAGGCUAAAACUCAAAGGAAUUGACGGGGACCCGCACAAGCGGCGGAGCAUGCGGAUUAAUUCGAUGCAACGCGAAGAACCUUACCAAGGCUUGACAUAUACGAGAACGGGCCAGAAAUGGUCAACUCUUUGGACACUUGUAAACAGGUGGUGCAUGGUUGUCGUCAGCUCGUGUCGUGAGAUGUUGGGUUAAGUCCCGCAACGAGCGCAACCCUCGUUCUAUGUUGCCAGUACGUAAUGGUGGGAACUCAUGGGAUACUGCCGGGGUCAACUCGGAGGAAGGUGGGGAUGACGUCAAAUCAUCAUGCCCCUUAUGUCUUGGGCUUCACGCGUGCUACAAUGGCCGGUACAAAGGGCUGCAAUACCGCGAGGUGGAGCGAAUCCCAAAAAGCCGGUCCCAGUUCGGAUUGAGGUCUGCAACUCGACCUCAUGAAGUCGGAGUCGCUAGUAAUCGCAGAUCAGCAACGCUGCUAAAGGGAUACGUUCCCGGGUCUUGUACACACCGCCCGUCUUAUUAAUGAAAGUCGGUAACACCUGAAGCCGGUGGGGUAACCUGCAAAGGAGCCAGCCGCCGAAAGGUGGGGAAGAAGGGGGA
This 806-nucleotide ribosomal RNA is filed under the name uncultured bacterium. RNAcentral's name for it is "bacterial SSU rRNA". It matches the Rfam family "Bacterial small subunit ribosomal RNA", at positions 684 to 1480 of the family's 1533-position model. The record is from RNAcentral.